GGAGGGUGCAAGCGUUAAUCGGAAUUACUGGGCGUAAAGCGCGCGCAGGCGGCUGGGUCAGUCGGAUGUGAAAGCCCCGGGCUUAACCUGGGAAUUGCAUUCGAUACCGCCCGGCUAGAGUAUGGGAGAGGGAAGUGGAAUUUCCGGUGUAGCGGUGAAAUGCGUAGAUAUCGGAAGGAACACCAGUGGCGAAGGCGGCUUCCUGGCCCAAUACUGACGCUCAGGUGCGAAAGCGUGGGGAGCGAACAGGGAUUAGAUACCCUGGUAGUCCACGCUGUAAACGAUGAGAACUAGAUGUUGGGAGGGUUAGCCUCUCAGUGUCGCAGCUAACGCGUUAGGUUCUCCGCCUGGGGAGUACGACCGCAAGGUUG
RNAcentral lists this ribosomal RNA (371 nucleotides) under uncultured organism. Its description in RNAcentral is "partial 16S ribosomal RNA". It matches the Rfam family "Bacterial small subunit ribosomal RNA", at positions 527 to 896 of the family's 1533-position model. The record is from RNAcentral.